This 460-nucleotide ribosomal RNA is filed under the name uncultured bacterium. Its description in RNAcentral is "partial 16S ribosomal RNA". It matches the Rfam family "Bacterial small subunit ribosomal RNA", at positions 338 to 795 of the family's 1533-position model. The record is from RNAcentral.
CCUACGGGAGGCAGCAGUGAGGAAUAUUGGUCAAUGGCCGUAAGGCUGAACCAGCCAAGUCGCGUGAAGGAAGAAGGAUCUAUGGUUUGUAAACUUCUUUUAUAGGGGAAUAAAGGUAUCCACGUGUGGAUAUUUGCAUGUACCCUAUGAAUAAGCAUCGGCUAACUCCGUGCCAGCAGCCGCGGUAAUACGGAGGGUGCGAGCGUUAAUCGGAAUUACUGGGCGUAAAGCGCUCGUAGGCGGUAUGUCAAGUCAAGGGUGAAAUCCCCGCGCUCAACGUGGGAACUGCCUUUGAAACUGGCAAACUGGAGUGUGUGAGAGGAUAGUGGAAUUCCAGGUGUAGGAGUGAAAUCCGUAGAUAUCUGGAGGAACAUCAGUGGCGAAGGCGACUAUCUGGCACAUAACUGACGCUGAGGAGCGAAAGCGUGGGUAGCAAACAGGAUUAGAUACCCCAGUAGUC